RNAcentral lists this transfer RNA (71 nucleotides) under Camelus bactrianus (Bactrian camel). It matches the Rfam family "tRNA". From Rfam's summary of the family: Transfer RNA (tRNA) molecules are approximately 80 nucleotides in length. Their secondary structure includes four short double-helical elements and three loops (D, anti-codon, and T loops). Lineage: Eukaryota; Metazoa; Chordata; Mammalia; Artiodactyla; Camelidae. The record is from Rfam by way of RNAcentral. RNAcentral also lists the same sequence under 1 other name.
GGGGGUACAGCUCAGUAGUAGAGUGCGUGCUUGGUGUGCACGAGGUCCUGGUUCAAUCCCCAGCACCUCUG